This 1118-nucleotide long non-coding RNA is filed under the name Equus asinus (donkey). RNAcentral describes it as "lncRNA (ENSEASG00005033811.1)". The record is from RNAcentral. Lineage: Eukaryota; Metazoa; Chordata; Mammalia; Perissodactyla; Equidae.
AAUUUUCAGUAUGUUUUGAUAAAGCUCUGUUGUUUUGUCAUGAAUUAAGCAAUUAUAUUGGAUUUUCCAAGACCUUUACCAGUAAAUUAUGUUUCUGUAUGUAAAAUAACUAACCCCUUAUUAGAGAGACAGUGUUAUAUGUAUUUACUUACAAAAUUAUGAGUUCCAUUAGGAUUAUAUUGAUUUUUGUAUUUUCCUAAAAUAGUACUUUGAAUUGAUAGUCCCUUAUGCAAUGUCUUAGCAAUAGUCACUAUAAUGCCCAUCCAGGAGAAGUGGGUAGUAAUUCUUCAUCAUGAAAAUUAUAUAUUACAUAUUUAGUAUGUCCCCUUUGCAGUAUUGCACUUUUGUUUAACUAGAACACACCUAUGAGAUAGCCAAAGUUUUUCAAACACAGUUAACUUAGUUUGCCGGUGGAGUAUUUCAACAUGAUCCAUAUUUCCCUUCUCUCCUUCUAGUUCUACCCACAUGGUCUUUAUUCCUUUCUUUCCCCAAUUUAAACAAAAGGGAAAAAAAGCCCUAGAUCUUAUCACUGAAAUCUAAUUUAUAUCCAAUUUAUGAGAUAAGUAUUUUCCUAAUUACAGUCAAAUGAAUUUGGUUAACAUCUUAGUGAUUCUCUUUCUAUGUAAUAAGGCAAUUGCAGUUUUCAAAGCAUUAAGGCUAAUAUUAACUUUAAACAUUCUCUUGGGUUUCAAGACACUUCUAUUUAAUAUUGAUUUGGGAAAAGUUGUCUGGCUAUCACCUUUUUAAAAAACAACAUGCAAAUAUGGUUGUGUAAAGUUAAGGAUUAUAAGGAAAAAAAUCAGUAGAAUUACAUAAUACUAAAGUUGCAGUUGAAAGGAUAUCCAAGUAUGUGUUGGUAGUUACUAAAAGAAUUAUAGCUGUUAUUGCCUUGUAUUGAUAGCCCUUGUUUCAGGUUUCAUGAUUCAAGUCUUAGUCCAAUUUUUCUUUUGGACAUUUGCAAUAUUUACCAGUUGUGUUUUGUGUAGUCUGAAUUUGCUUUCUGUAGUUGAGCAAACGUCUUAAAAAGUCAUUUGUAAUUUAUUAAAUUACUUUCUAUGAUGUUCUAUAGAGCAAAUGGAAGUUUAAUUAUUUUUUAUUAAACAUAUUCUUUGACUACC